GAUGAAGAACGUAGCGAAAUGCGAUAAGUAAUGUGAAUUGCAGAAUUCAGUGAAUCAUCGAAUCUUUGAACGUACAUUGCGCCCCCUGGUAUUCCGGGGGGCAUGCCUGUUCGAGCGUCAUUACAACCCUCAAGCUCUGCUUGGUGUUGGGCCCCGCCGCCCCGGCGGGCCCUAAAAUCAGUGGCGGUGCCGUCCGGCUCCGAGCGUAGUAAUUCUUCUCGCUCUGGAGGUCCGGGUGUGUGCUCGCCAGCAACCCCCAAUUUUUUUCAGGUUGACCUCGGAUCAGGUAGGGAUACCCGCUGAACUUAAGCAUAUCAAUAAGCGGAGGA
Molecule: unclassified non-coding RNA, 329 nt
Filed under: soil metagenome
Description: partial contains 5.8S ribosomal RNA, internal transcribed spacer 2, and large subunit ribosomal RNA
Rfam family: 5.8S ribosomal RNA (bases 1-120)
Source: RNAcentral